UUAAGCGACUAAGCGUACACGGUGGAUGCCCUGGCAGUCAGAGGCGAUGAAGGACGUGCUAAUCUGCGAAAAGCGUCGGUAAGGUGAUAUGAACCGUUAUAGCCGGCGAUGUCCGAAUGGGGAAACCCAGUGCAAUUCGUUGCACUAUCGUUAACUGAAUACAUAGGUUAACGAGGCGAACCGGGGGAACUGAAACAUCUAAGUACCCCGAGGAAAAGAAAUCAACCGAGAUUCCCCCAGUAGCGGCGAGCGAACGGGGAGCAGCCCAGAGUCUGAAUCAGCUUGUGUGUUAGUGGAACGGUCUGGAAAGUCCGACGGUACAGGGUGAUAGUCCCGUACACCAAAAUGCACAGGCUGUGAACUCGAAGAGUAGGGCGGGACACGUGGUAUCCUGUCUGAAUAUGGGGGGACCAUCCUCCAAGGCUAAAUACUCCUGACUGACCGAUAGUGAACCAGUACCGUGAGGGAAAGGCGAAAAGAACCCCGGCGAGGGGAGUGAAAAAGAACCUGAAACCGUGUACGUACAAGCAGUGGGAGCACCUUCGGGUGUGACUGCGUACCUUUUGUAUAAUGGGUCAGCGACUUAUAUUCUGUAGCAAGGUUAACCGUAUAGGGGAGCCGCAGGGAAACCGAGUCUUAACUGGGCGUUAAGUUGCAGGGUAUAGACCCGAAACCCGGUGAUCUAGCCAUGGGCAGGUUGAAGGUUGGGUAACACUAACUGGAGGACCGAACCGACUAAUGUUGAAAAAUUAGCGGAUGACUUGUGGCUGGGGGUGAAAGGCCAAUCAAACCGGGAGAUAGCUGGUUCUCCCCGAAAGCUAUUUAGGUAGCGCCUCGUGAAUUCAUCUUCGGGGGUAGAGCACUGUUUCGGCUAGGGGGUCAUCCCGACUUACCAACCCGAUGCAAACUACGAAUACCGAAGAAUGUUAUCACGGGAGACACACGGCGGGUGCUAACGUCCGUCGUGAAGAGGGAAACAACCCAGACCGCCAGCUAAGGUCCCAAAGUCAUGGUUAAGUGGGAAACGAUGUGGGAAGGCACAGACAGCCAGGAUGUUGGCUUAGAAGCAGCCAUCAUUUAAAGAAAGCGUAAUAGCUCACUGGUCGAGUCGGCCUGCGCGGAAGAUGUAACGGGGCUAAACCAUGCACCGAAGCUGCGGCAGCGACACUAUGUGUUGUUGGGUAGGGGAGCGUUCUGUAAGCCUGCGAAGGUGACCUGUGAGGGUUNCCUUGGCGAUUGACGUUACCCGCAGAAGAAGCACCGGCUAACUCCGUGCCAGCAGCCGCGGUAAUACGGAGGGUGCAAGCGUUAAUCGGAAUUACUGGGCGUAAAGCGCACGCAGGCGGUCUGUCAAGUCGGAUGUGAAAUCCCCGGGCUUAACCUGGGAACUGCAUUCGAAACUGGCAGGCUAGAGUCUUGUAGAGGGGGGUAGAAUUCCAGGUGUAGCGGUGAAAUGCGUAGAGAUCUGGAGGAAUACCGGUGGCGAAGGCGGCCCCCUGGACAAAGACUGACGCUCAGGUGCGAAAGCGUGGGGAGCAAACAGGAUUAGAUACCCUGGUAGUCCACGCCGUAAACGAUGUCGAUUUGGAGGUUGUGCCCUUGAGGCGUGGCUUCCGGAGCUAACGCGUUAAAUCGACCGCCUGGGGAGUACGGCCGCAAGGUUAAAACUCAAAUGAAUUGACGGGGGCCCGCACAAGCGGUGGAGCAUGUGGUUUAAUUCGAUGCAACGCGAAGAACCUUACCUGGUCUUGACAUCCACAGAACUUUGCAGAGAUGGUUUGGUGCCUUCGGGAACUGUGAGACAGGUGCUGCAUGGCUGUCGUCAGCUCGUGUUGUGAAAUGUUGGGUUAAGUCCCGCAACGAGCGCAACCCUUAUCCUUUGUUGCCAGCGGUUCGGCCGGGAACUCAAAGGAGACUGCCAGUGAUAAACUGGAGGAAGGUGGGGAUGACGUCAAGUCAUCAUGGCCCUUACGACCAGGGCUACACACGUGCUACAAUGGCAUAUACAAAGAGAAGCGACCUCGCGAGAGCAAGCGGACCUCAUAAAGUAUGUCGUAGUCCGGAUUGGAGUCUGCAACUCGACUCCAUGAAGUCGGAAUCGCUAGUAAUCGUAGAUCAGAAUGCUACGGUGAAUACGUUCCCGGGCCUUGUACACACCGCCCGUCACACCAUGGGAGUGGGUUGCAAAAGAAGUAGGUAGCUUAACCUUCGGGAGGGCGCUUACCACUUUGUGAUUCAUGACUGGGGUGAAGUCGUAACAAGGUAACCGUAGGGGAACCUGCGGUUGGAUCACCUCCUUACCUUAAAGAACCUGCCUUUGUAGUGCUCACACAGAUUGUCUGAUAAAUAAUAAAUUUCAAAAUGUACUGCGAAGUGCAUUGUGAAAUUUUGCUCUUUAAAAAUCUGGAUCAAGCUG
This 2416-nucleotide ribosomal RNA is filed under the name Klebsiella pneumoniae. RNAcentral's name for it is "bacterial LSU rRNA". The stretch from base 1 to 1384 matches the Rfam family "Bacterial large subunit ribosomal RNA". Lineage: Bacteria; Pseudomonadati; Pseudomonadota; Gammaproteobacteria; Enterobacterales; Enterobacteriaceae. The record is from RNAcentral.